This 482-nucleotide ribosomal RNA is filed under the name uncultured bacterium. RNAcentral's name for it is "partial 16S ribosomal RNA". It matches the Rfam family "Bacterial small subunit ribosomal RNA", at positions 30 to 507 of the family's 1533-position model. The record is from RNAcentral.
AUUGAACGCUGGCGGCAUGCCUUACACAUGCAAGUCGAACGGUAACAGGUCUACGGCUUCUGACGAGUGGCGGACGGGGGCGUAAUACAGCGGAACGUACCCGAUCGUGGGGGAUAGCGGGGCGAAAGCUUUGCUAAUACCGCAUACGAUCUAAGGAUGACAGCGGGGGAUCUUCGGACCUCGCGCGGCCGGAGCGGCCGAUGGCAGAUUAGGUAGUUGGUGGGAUAAAAGCUUACCAAGCCGACGAUCUGUAGCUGGUCUGAGAGGAUGAUCAGCCACACUGGGACUGAGACACGGCCCAGACUCCUACGGGAGGCAGCAGUGGGGAAUUUUGGACAAUGGGCGAAAGCCUGAUCCAGCCAUGCCGCGUGCAGGAUGAAGGCCUUCGGGUUGUAAAGUGCUUUUGUACGGAAAGAAAAGCCGCUUGCUAAUAAAGAGCGGUCAUGACGGUACCGUAAGAAUAAGCACCGGCUAACUACGUG